Molecule: non-coding RNA, 73 nt
Organism: Cordylochernes scorpioides
Lineage: Eukaryota; Metazoa; Arthropoda; Arachnida; Pseudoscorpiones; Chernetidae
Source: the annotation of a GenBank genome assembly
UCCAGGGUAGUCUAGUGGACAUGGCAUCUGCCCAGUAAGCGGAACACUGUGGGUUCGAUUCCCAUCCCUGGAC